CAUACAAAUAUAUAUAAUAAAAAAACAAAACAUUUGACCAACCUAGUAGAUGAGAUCGAACAGUAAAUAUACCUAGUACCGCAAGGGAAACAAUAAAGCAAUAAAAAGCAAAGAUUAACCCUUGUACCUUUUGCAUCAUGGUCUAGCAAGAAAUUAAGACAAGAAGAAUCAAAGCCUACACCCCGAAACCAGAUGAGCUACUUUAGAGCAGCUUAAUGAGCAAACCCUUCUCUGUGGCAAAAGAGUGGGAAGACUUAAAAGUAGAAGUGAAACGCUUACCGAAUCUGGAGAUAGCUGGCUACCCAAAAAAGAAUAUGAGUUCUACCACAGAACUAAAAAGAAUAAUUUCUCUACUGUGGAAAAUCAAUAGGGGUACAGCUCUAUUGAAACAGGAUACAACCUGAAUUUGAGAGGAAUAUUAACAUCAACCCCAGUAGGCUCUAAAGCAGCCACCCAAUAAAAUAUCGUUAAAGAAUUAUACAUCUUAAACCCCGUACCAACCAAAAACUCCAAAUCAACUAAGGGUAAAUCCAUUAUAAUGGAUACUAUUAUGCUAGAACUAAUAAUAAGACAACCUCUCUCAAUGCACCCUUCCACUAAAAUCGGACCAACCACUAGCCAUUAACAGACCAGACAAGGCAUUAACUAAACCCUAUACAACUUAAAACAAACUGUUACCCCAACACAGGCGCAUUAAAAAGAAAGAUUAACUAUUAUAAAAGGAACUCGGCAAACAAAGACUCCAACUGUUUAACAAAAACAUAACCUUUAGAUCAAACCAAUAUUAAAGGCAACGCCUGCCCAGUGAACAUUAAACGGCCGCGGUAUCCUAACCGUGCAAAGGUAGCAUAAUCAUUUGUCUACUAAUUAUAGACCUGUAUGAAAGGCAAAAUGAGAGUCUAACUGUCUCUUAUAACAAAUCAAUUAAACUGAUCUCCUAGUAAAAAAGCUAGAAUUUAACCAUAAGACCAGAAGACCCUGUGAAGCUUAAACUAAAAUAUUAAACCACAUAAUAAAUACUUUCGGUUGGGGCGACCUUGGAAAAAAACACAACUUCCAAUAAUACGACCUCCCUCGUACUACAAUACCAGGCUUACAAGCCAACUAAUGACCCAGCAAAGCUGACAAUCGAACCAAGUUACUCCAGGGAUAACAGCGCAAUCCUCUUCAAGAGCCCAUAUCAAAAAGAGGGUUUACGACCUCGAUGUUGGAUCGAGACAUCCUAAUGGUGCAGACGCUAUUAAGGGUUCGUUUGUUCAACGAUUAACAGUCUCACGUGAUCU
Molecule: ribosomal RNA, 1283 nt
Filed under: Oligodon cinereus (Guenther's kukri snake)
Lineage: Eukaryota; Metazoa; Chordata; Lepidosauria; Squamata; Colubridae
Description: partial 16S ribosomal RNA
Rfam family: Bacterial large subunit ribosomal RNA
Source: RNAcentral